CAAAUGCGAUAGUUAGUGUGAACUGCAGAUAUUCUGAGCACUAAAACGUCGAAUGCACAUUGCGCCUUGGGACCUCCAUCCCUCGGCACGCCUGGUUCAGGGUCGUUUCUCACAACAAGGAGCAGUCCCGCUCCUAGCACGACUCGGCACUAGCAGCCAAGCCGCCUGGCAGCUAAGGGCCGAGCCUACGAUUGCUCGUGCUGUGCGUGAGCGCCUACCUGGGGCUACGCGGCCGGUCUUGUAGACCAUUAUCUGGCUGACCGUGUGAAAUAGCCUGCGGUGGUACUUGUCUCGCAUUUGCGACCUGAACUCAGACGUGAUGACCCGCUGAACUUAA
RNAcentral lists this unclassified non-coding RNA (337 nucleotides) under uncultured fungus. Its description in RNAcentral is "sequence contains ITS1". The stretch from base 1 to 105 matches the Rfam family "5.8S ribosomal RNA", at positions 50 to 154 of the family's 154-position model. The record is from RNAcentral. Lineage: Eukaryota; Fungi.